RNAcentral lists this ribosomal RNA (327 nucleotides) under uncultured eukaryote. Its description in RNAcentral is "partial 18S ribosomal RNA". It matches the Rfam family "Eukaryotic small subunit ribosomal RNA", at positions 1470 to 1796 of the family's 1831-position model. The record is from RNAcentral.
CCCUUAGAUGUUCUGGGCCGCACACGCGCUACACUGAAGGAGGCAGCGUGUACUCCUGGAUCGAAAGAUUUGGGUAACCCGCGAAUCUCCUUCGUGCUAGGGAUUGAGGUUUGCAAUUAUCCUUCAUGAACGAGGAAUUCCCAGUAAGUGCAAGUCAUAAGCUUGCGCUGACUACGUCCCUGCCCUUUGUACACACCGUCCGUCGCUACUACCGAUUGAAUGAUUUAGUGAGGACUUCGGACUGGGACCGAUGCGGCUUUCGGGCUGCGUCGGUAUUCUGGAAAGAUGUCCAAACUGUAUCAUUUAGAGGAAGUAAAANUCGUANCA